This 253-nucleotide ribosomal RNA is filed under the name uncultured bacterium. RNAcentral describes it as "partial 16S ribosomal RNA". It matches the Rfam family "Bacterial small subunit ribosomal RNA", at positions 524 to 776 of the family's 1533-position model. The record is from RNAcentral.
UACGUAGGUGGCGAGCGUUGUCCGGAUUUAUUGGGCGUAAAGCGCCCGCAGGCGGCUCGAUAAGUUUCAGGUGAAAUCUCCUGGCUCAACUGGGAGGGGUCCUGGAAAACUGUCAGGCUUGAGGCAGGGAGAGGGAUGCGGAAUUCCCGGUGUAGUAGUGAAAUGCGUAGAUAUCAGGAGGAACACCGGCGGUGUAGACGGCUUUCUGGACCGUAGCUGACGCUGAGACACGAAAGCGUGGGUAGCAAACAGG